CCCUUAGAUGUCCUGGGCCGCACGCGUGCUACACUGACGCCUACAGCGAGUACUUCCCAGCCCCGAGAGGUGGCUGGUAAUCAGCAAUAGGCGUCGUGAUGGGGAUAGAUCUUUGGAAUUAUGGAUCUUGAACGAGGAAUGCCUAGUAAGCGCAGGUCAUUAGCCUGCGCUAAUUAAGUCCCUGCCCUUUGUACACACCGCCCGUCGCUCCUACCGAUUUCGAGUGGUCCGGUGAAUCUUUCGGACUGCGCGCGGCCUCGUGCCGUGUCGCGGAAAGUCAGGUAAACCUUAUCACUUAGAGGAAGGAGAANUCGUANCA
RNAcentral lists this ribosomal RNA (319 nucleotides) under uncultured eukaryote. RNAcentral describes it as "partial 18S ribosomal RNA". It matches the Rfam family "Eukaryotic small subunit ribosomal RNA", at positions 1470 to 1796 of the family's 1831-position model. The record is from RNAcentral.